Molecule: ribosomal RNA, 380 nt
Filed under: uncultured organism
Description: partial 16S ribosomal RNA
Rfam family: Bacterial small subunit ribosomal RNA
Source: RNAcentral
GAACCGUCCAAACGUUAUUCGGGAAUUACUGGGGCUUAAAGGGUGCGUAGGCGGCUUGGCAAGUUGGGGGGUGUGAAAUCCCUCGGGCUCAACCGAGGGAACUGCGCUCAAAACUGCCAGGCUAGAGGAAGAUAGAGGUGAGCGGAACUAAUGGUGGAGCGGUGAAAUGCGUUGAUAUCAUUAGGAACACCUGCGGCGAAAGCGGCUCACUGGGUCUUUUCUGACGCUGAGGCACGAAAGCUAGGGUAGCGAACGGGAUUAGAUACCCCGGUAGUCCUAGCCGUAAACGAUGAGCACUAGGUUGGAGGCUCCUUCAUAGGCUUCCGACCGAAGCGAAAGUGUUAAGUGCUCCGCCUGGGGAGUAUGGUCGCAAAGGCUGA